RNAcentral lists this long non-coding RNA (341 nucleotides) under Helicoverpa zea (corn earworm). RNAcentral's name for it is "uncharacterized LOC124643494". Lineage: Eukaryota; Metazoa; Arthropoda; Insecta; Lepidoptera; Noctuidae. The record is from RNAcentral.
AACUUUUAAUAUGGCAAUAUUUUAGAACUGUCAAAAUUGUCCCAUUGACGUUUCAUAAUAAAGUCAGUUUGUUAUUUUAUUUCAUUGAUUUUAUAUAAAAUAAUGCCGAAAACAAUCAAAAGUUCGACGAGAAUGCUUCUAUUUACCAUGAUUGACAAAUAUAAAGACGUACAAAGUGAUUUGAAUCAGUAAUUUGCAGAGAAAAUACGACGACUGGAUUCAGUCAUUUCACUUUUAGAUAAUAUUAACGAGGACAACGACUACGAGGAAACAAACUUACAAUUGCGGAAACAGUAAAGAAAUUGAAUUAUCUAUUCCAUCAAAUAAACGUUUUGUAAUAA